Molecule: long non-coding RNA, 1709 nt
Organism: Oncorhynchus nerka (sockeye salmon)
Lineage: Eukaryota; Metazoa; Chordata; Actinopteri; Salmoniformes; Salmonidae
Exons: 2
Source: RefSeq, a predicted model, not a curated record
GUCUUUGUGCGGUAUUGUUUGUUGUAAGUGCUUGUGCACAUGUUUGACUGGUGCGUGACUGGUUUUGUACCCAUUUAUUUUGUAUUCUGAGGCUGUUGGUUGUAUUAUUAAACUUCUCCGGCUACUACCUAGUUCUUCUCUCCUGCGUCUGACUUCCCUGCCACCAGUUACGCACCCCUUACAUCAUUACUGUCACACCCUGACCAUAGUUUGCUUUGUAUGUUUCUAUGUUUUGUUUGGUCAGGGUGUGAUCUGAGUGGGCAUUCUAUGUUGUGUGUCUAGUUUGUCUGUUUCUGUGUUUGGCCUGAUAUGGUUCUCAAUCAGAGGCAGGUGUUAGUCAUUGUCUCUGAUUGGGAACCAUAUUUAGGUAGCCUGUUUGGUGUUGGGGUUUGUGGGUGAUUGUUUCCUGUCUUUGUGUCUAUGCACCAGAUAGGUCUGUUUCCACACGUUGUUUUGUAAAUUGAAGUGUUCAGUUUGGAUUUAUUAUUAAUUAAAUAAGAUGAACACUCACCACGCUGUGCUUUGGUCCUCUCCUUCCCAGGAAGAAAGCCGUUACACUCACCUCUUGCCUGCUUACCAAUGGUCACAGAUGGGAGAACAGAAUUAAUUGCAUGAGAUGCAGUGAGACCUGGCCCUCAACACAUCUACAAUAAGAUGAUUACUAAUAAUACAGUAGGGCACAAAUGUCCAGCAAUAGCAACAGCCUUUUCAUUCCACAUGUCAUUGAUGAACUCUGCCUCAACUCUGCCUAUUUCUUCAUGUGGACUGGAGAUGCUUUUGCCAGAUGGCAGCCUCAGUUGUUUGAUGUGGAGGCCAUAAUUGGGAAUGUUUUAUCUGACCUGUUCAAACUUCAACAUAGCACCUGUUUGUGUGUCAGAUAUUACCUAUCCUAACUGCCGUUGGUAGUGACAAUGUGUGUAUGUGUUCACAGAAACAUGUAUAGAGAUGGGCUUGAUAUUGAUGUCUCUGAAUGGAGAGAGACCUGACACUCGGUAUACAUUUUUUAAUAGACAACUUUUAAUUGUAUUGACUUUUUAAAUUAUUAUUGAAUUGAAUGGUAUCAGUCAGUAUGGGGAGGGAAAAACCCUGUGUAUUCUGCACCCGGAUCAGGGAAAUCCUGUUGUAUACGGGACACCACACAGGAAGGUACUGUAUGACCACUCGGACAUGUUUGCCAAGAUAGCCACAUUACCACUAGACAAAAUGCCGAUAGGCACAGUAUCUGUAUCAGCUGGGAAUGACAAUUAUCAGGAGACAGGCCAGUACAUCAGAAGACGUGGAGGAGGCCGUAGGAGGGAAACAACCCAGCAGCAGGACCGCUACCUCCGCCUUUGUGCAAGGAGGAGCACUGCCAGAGCCCUGCAAAAUGACCUCCAGCAGGCCACAAAUGUGCAUGUGUCUGCUCAACCGGUCAGAAACAGACUCCAUGAGGGUGGUAUGAGGGCCCGACGUCCACAGGUGGGGGUUGUGCUUUACAGCCCAACACCGUGCAGGACGUUUGGCAUUUGCCAGAGAACACCAAGAUUGGCAAAUUCGCCACUGGCGCCCUGUGCUCUUCACAGCUGAAAGCAGGUUCACACUGAGCACAUGGACAGAGGAGCCUCUUAAAGAAGAAGUUACAGGUCUGUAGAGCCAGAAAUCUUGCUUGUUUGUAGGUGACCAAAUACUUAUUUUCCACCAUAAUUUGCAAAUAAAUUCAUUAAUUCAUU